Molecule: ribosomal RNA, 440 nt
Filed under: uncultured bacterium
Lineage: Bacteria
Description: partial 16S ribosomal RNA
Rfam family: Bacterial small subunit ribosomal RNA
Source: RNAcentral
CCUACGGGAGGCAGCAGUAGGGAAUAUUGCUCAAUGGGGGAAACCCUGAAGCAGCAACGCCGCGUGGAGGAUGAAGGUUUUCGGAUUGUAAACUCCUUUUGUUAGAGAAGAUAAUGACGGUAUCUAACGAAUAAGCACCGGCUAACUCCGUGCCAGCAGCCGCGGUAAUACGGAGGGUGCAAGCGUUACUCGGAAUCACUGGGCGUAAAGGGCGCGUAGGCGGGAUAGCAAGUCAGAUGUGAAAUCCUAUGGCUUAACCAUAGAACUGCAUUUGAAACUGUUAGUCUAGAGUAUGGGAGAGGUAGGUGGAAUUCUUGGUGUAGGGGUAAAAUCCGUAGAGAGCAAGAGGAAUACUCAUUGCGAAGGCGACCUGCUAGAACAUAACUGACGCUGAUGCGCGAAAGCGUGGGGAGCAAACAGGAUUAGAUACCCGAGUAGUC